UACGAAGGGGGCUAGCGUUGCUCGGAAUUACUGGGCGUAAAGCGCACGUAGGCGGAUUGUUAAGUCGGGGGUGAAAUCCUGGAGCUCAACUCCAGAACUGCCUUCGAUACUGGCGAUCUCGAGUUCGGGAGAGGUGAGUGGAACUGCGAGUGUAGAGGUGAAAUUCGUAGAUAUUCGCAAGAACACCAGUGGCGAAGGCGGCUCACUGGCCCGAUACUGACGCUGAGGCACGAAAGUGUGGGGAUCAAACAGG
Molecule: ribosomal RNA, 253 nt
Filed under: uncultured bacterium
Lineage: Bacteria
Description: partial 16S ribosomal RNA
Rfam family: Bacterial small subunit ribosomal RNA
Source: RNAcentral